This 420-nucleotide ribosomal RNA is filed under the name uncultured bacterium. Its description in RNAcentral is "bacterial SSU rRNA". It matches the Rfam family "Bacterial small subunit ribosomal RNA", at positions 355 to 786 of the family's 1533-position model. The record is from RNAcentral.
UCGGGAAUAUUGCGCAAUGGAGGAAACUCUGACGCAGUGACGCCGCGUGCAGGAAGAAGGUUUUCGGAUUGUAAACUGCUUUAGACAGGGAAGAAAAAGGACAGUACCUGUAGAAUAAGCUCCGGCUAACUACGUGCCAGCAGCCGCGGUAAUACGUAGGGAGCAAGCGUUAUCCGGAUUUAUUGGGUGUAAAGGGUGCGUAGACGGGAAAUUAAGUUAGUUGUGAAAAUCCCUCGGCUUAACUGAGGAACUGCAACUAAAAACUGGUUUUCUUGAGUGCUGGAGAGGAAAAGUGGAAUUCCUAGUGUAGCGGUGAAAUGCGUAGAUAUUAGGAGGAACACCAGUGGCGAAGGCGACUUUCUGGACAGUAACUGACGUUGAGGCACGAAAAGUGUGGGGAGCAAAACAGGAUUAGAUACC